UACGUAGGGUGCGAGCGUUAAUCGGAAUUACUGGGCGUAAAGCGUGCGCAGGCGGUUUUGUAAGCCAGAUGUGAAAUCCCCGGGCUUAACCUGGGAACUGCAUUUGUGACUGCAUCGCUGGAGUGCGGCAGAGGGGGAUGGAAUUCCGCGUGUAGCAGUGAAAUGCGUAGAUAUGCGGAGGAACACCGAUGGCGAAGGCAAUCCCCUGGGCCUGCACUGACGCUCAUGCACGAAAGCGUGGGGAGCAAACAGG
RNAcentral lists this ribosomal RNA (253 nucleotides) under uncultured bacterium. Its description in RNAcentral is "partial 16S ribosomal RNA". It matches the Rfam family "Bacterial small subunit ribosomal RNA", at positions 524 to 776 of the family's 1533-position model. The record is from RNAcentral.